RNAcentral lists this microRNA (23 nucleotides) under Bos taurus (domestic cattle). RNAcentral describes it as "bta-miR-10168-5p". The record is from miRBase by way of RNAcentral. Lineage: Eukaryota; Metazoa; Chordata; Mammalia; Artiodactyla; Bovidae.
UCUGAGGCAGUGGAAACAGAGUA